GUUGGAGUCUCUGAGGCGACUGUGUGUUGGUAGGAGAUAGUUGGUGGCCCGUGCAGCUGGGUUGGGAAACCCUCAAGGUUGACACUGCAGUUGGGGCAGAGGUCAGGGUCUCAGGGAGCAGCAGCAACUUGUUCUUCAGAGGAAAUGGAAGGAUGGCUCCGGGGCAGCCAAUCCCACCACUGCAUAAGAUGGAAGAACCUUGGCUCCCUGUGUGACUUCUCUUUGUGAUUUGGAAGACAAAUACCUCCGAUGAGUUGUCUGCGAACAGCUCAGCACAUUGGAGAACAAGGUGAUUGGAGGAGCCAUCUUUGAAAUCAG
This is a long non-coding RNA of Hipposideros armiger (great roundleaf bat), 318 nucleotides long. RefSeq lists it as uncharacterized. NCBI's taxonomy places the organism in Eukaryota, Metazoa, Chordata, Mammalia, Chiroptera, Hipposideridae. The transcript has 3 exons. The record is from RefSeq and is a predicted model, not a curated record.